Molecule: ribosomal RNA, 440 nt
Filed under: uncultured bacterium
Lineage: Bacteria
Description: partial 16S ribosomal RNA
Rfam family: Bacterial small subunit ribosomal RNA
Source: RNAcentral
CCUACGGGAGACAGCAGUAGGGAAUAUUGCUCAAUGGGGGAAACCCUGAAGCAGCAACGCCGCGUGGAGGAUGAAGGUUUUCGGAUUGUAAACUCCUUUUGGUAGAGAAGAGAAUGACGGUAUCUAACGAAUAAGCAGCGGAUAACGCCGUGCCAGCAGCCGCGGUAAUACGGAGGGUGCAAGCGUUACUCGGAAUCACUGGGCGUAAAGAGCGCGUAGGCGGGAUAGCAAGUCAGAUGGGAAAUCCUAUGGCUUAACCAUAGAACUGCAUUUGAAACUGUUAUUCUAGAGUAUGGGAGAGGUCGGUGCACUUCUUGGUGUAGUGGUCACAUCCUUAGAGCUCACGCGGAAUCCUCAUUGCGCCGGCGACCUGCUAGAUCAUACCUGACGCUGCUGCGCGAAAGCGUGGGUAGCAACCAGGAUUCGCUACCCGAGUAGUC